CUUUUGCUGGCGACCGGCGCACGGGUGAGUAACACGUGUCAACCUGCCCUUUACUCGGGGAUAGCCUUUCGAAAGAAAGAUUAAUACCCGAUAGCAUAAUGAUUCCGCAUGGUUUCAUUAUUAAAGGAUUCCGGUAAAGGAUGGGGAUGCGUUCCAUUAGGUUGUUGGUGAGGUAACGGCUCACCAAGCCUUCGAUGGAUAGGGGUUCUGAGAGGAAGGUCCCCCACAUUGGAACUGAGACACGGUCCAA
Molecule: ribosomal RNA, 250 nt
Filed under: uncultured bacterium
Lineage: Bacteria
Description: partial 16S ribosomal RNA
Rfam family: Bacterial small subunit ribosomal RNA
Source: RNAcentral